CAAUAGCGUAUAUUAAAGUUGUUGCAGUUAAAAAGCUCGUAGUUGGAUUUGUGGUGUACUUUGGCGGCCCGUCACUAUGUGAUGGAGCUUGCUGAAGUCGCCAUCCUUGGGUGGAUCCUGUGUGGCAUUAAGUUGUCGUGCAGGGGAUGCCCAUCGUUUACUGUGAAAAAAUUAGAGUGUUCAAAGCAGGCUUAUGCCGUUGAAUAUAUUAGCAUGGAAUAAUAAGAUAGGACCUUGGUACUAUUUUGUUGGUUUGCGCACCAAGGUAAUGAUUAAUAGGGACAGUUGGGGGUAUUCGUAUUUCAUUGUCAGAGGUGAAAUUCUUGGAUUUUUGAAAGACGAACUACUGCGAANGNAUUUACNAAGGAUGUUUNCAUUA
RNAcentral lists this ribosomal RNA (379 nucleotides) under uncultured eukaryote. RNAcentral describes it as "partial 18S ribosomal RNA". It matches the Rfam family "Eukaryotic small subunit ribosomal RNA", at positions 592 to 975 of the family's 1831-position model. The record is from RNAcentral.